UGGGCUGGUAGAUCAACGGUAGAUCGCAUCGUUCGCAACGAUGAGGCUGAGGGUUCAAAUCCCUCCCCGUCCAU
Molecule: transfer RNA, 74 nt
Filed under: uncultured archaeon
Lineage: Archaea
Description: tRNA-Ala(cgc)
Rfam family: tRNA
About the family: Transfer RNA (tRNA) molecules are approximately 80 nucleotides in length. Their secondary structure includes four short double-helical elements and three loops (D, anti-codon, and T loops).
Source: RNAcentral